This 596-nucleotide ribosomal RNA is filed under the name Marinobacter sp. Its description in RNAcentral is "bacterial SSU rRNA". It matches the Rfam family "Bacterial small subunit ribosomal RNA", at positions 39 to 628 of the family's 1533-position model. The record is from RNAcentral. Lineage: Bacteria; Pseudomonadati; Pseudomonadota; Gammaproteobacteria; Pseudomonadales; Marinobacteraceae.
GCGGCGGCUUACACAUGCAAGUCGAGCGGUAACAGGGGGUGCUUGCACCCCGCUGACGAGCGGCGGACGGGUGAGUAAUGCAUAGGAAUCUGCCCAGUAGUGGGGGAUAGCCCGGGGAAACCCGGAUUAAUACCGCAUACGCCCUUUGGGGGAAAGCAGGGGAUCUUCGGACCUUGCGCUAUUGGAUGAGCCUAUGUCGGAUUAGCUAGUUGGUGGGGUAAAGGCCUACCAAGGCGACGAUCCGUAGCUGGUCUGAGAGGAUGAUCAGCCACAUCGGGACUGAGACACGGCCCGAACUCCUACGGGAGGCAGCAGUGGGGAAUAUUGGACAAUGGGGGCAACCCUGAUCCAGCCAUGCCGCGUGUGUGAAGAAGGCUUUCGGGUUGUAAAGCACUUUCAGUGAGGAGGAAAACCUUCUGGUUAAUACCCAUGAGGCUUGACGUUACUCACAGAAGAAGCACCGGCUAACUCCGUGCCAGCAGCCGCGGUAAUACGGAGGGUGCAAGCGUUAAUCGGAAUUACUGGGCGUAAAGCGCGCGUAGGUGGUUUGAUAAGCGAGAUGUGAAAGCCCCGGGCUUAACCUGGGAACGGCAUUU